This is an RNA transcript of Coffea arabica (coffee), 3679 nucleotides long. RefSeq lists it as uncharacterized. The record is from RefSeq and is a predicted model, not a curated record. Lineage: Eukaryota; Viridiplantae; Streptophyta; Magnoliopsida; Gentianales; Rubiaceae.
ACAAACAAGAAACCAACGGAACGGAGUAUCUCUUCUUUUCUUCUUCUUCAGGUGAAAGUACCAGCAAGUACUCUUCCCUUCCUGUAACAGAGAUGGUUGCUUCACAUGCUUAUUGUAUUUGGAAGCAUGGAAGGCCUGAAAUCCCUCAGAGAUUAGGUGUCUUCUUUUUCCCCAAAAUUCAGGGAUUUUUCCCCAGGAAAGUGCCCAGCCGUUUGAUUUCAUUCAUUUGUACUGGAAUUGGUUUUGUAACCAUCCAAUUUUCCCAUGAACACCAUAAUUCUAAAUUAUAUUUUUCAGAGAUUUGAUGUGAUAGAAAUUAAGUGAGUAAUAAUUUAGGUUUUUAGGUUUUGAAAAGGAAAAGAAAGAGAAGUGCCCAUAUAAAGGGUGAUAUUUCUUUCUCCGAAGACCUUGCGUUUGAAAGGGAGCUUCUUCUGCUUCUAGCUUUGCUGGCUAUUCUAUUUGGUGUGCAUCUUUUGCUCCAACAAGUUGGCAUAUUCAGUUCUUAGGUUUGUCUAAGAAACUAAAUUUUGUGCUGCUUUUUUUGUCUAAAUGAUUUGGAUUUUAUCUGUUGUUGAUUAUAUUACAGGUUGUGUGUCUCAUGUUAAAAAUUCUUGAGCUUCAGGCAUAUUAAUUGCUAUCUGUUUCAUUUUUACAUGAUUGUGAGAUACAUGAUGUAGUUAAAGAUUUUCUUUCUGUUAUGAAGAGUGAAAGCCUUCACAUGAUGAGAAUGAAUGUCUGUUUCAUAUGAAAUGCCUUGGAUAGUAGUCUUCUUUUUUUGUCAUGGACUCUGUGAUCAAAGAAAAUUCUGAUGAUGUUCCUACUGUGAUUUCUCAAUUUGAUGUGGGUCAAAUGAUGAGGAAAAAAGAUUGUAGAAAAAAUGCAGUUCUUAGAUGGAGAAAGAAACGAUUAGAUAGAGCAGAUAAGCCAACCUCUUCAAACAUUGCUGCAAAAAGAAGCUUAACUUUUGAAGCUCCAAUUCCCAGAACUAAUGUACCUUCUGUUGAGAAGACAACCAUUGAAGCUGUUUCCUCGAUUGCUGCAAAAAAGAGUCCUGAAGACAACAAGCCUGCAUCUUCAAAAUCUGCUCAUAUGAGCACUCUCAAGAAGCCACGUGAAUCUGCAAAAUAAAGCAGCCACACAGCUUCAUGUCCUCUUUUGUUCAUCAUGUAUGCUACUGAACUUUUAGCAUGCUAUUUUUUGCCAUCAUAUUAGAAUCCAUUAACAUUAUCUGUAUGACUGGAAGUUAAUGGAUCAUAAUAUAUGAUAUUAUGUAACUAAAAUGAACUUUGAAAAAGACUAUUAGCAUGCCAAUAUACCUCUACUUAUGACUUAAUUGUACUGGAAGGUGUGUAAUUGCUACUGAAAUUGUUGACAACUAUCUAUGAAUGAUAAUUAUGGUAUUAUGUACCUAUUAUGCAACUAGAAUUGUUAUAUAUACUUUUCCAAUGAUCAGUAUUUUUUGAAAGGCCAAGGCACAACCUGGUUCCUUUAGUUACUAUAAGAUAAGCAAAAGGCCAAUGUUACUGUAGCAACUCCUGUUGCUGACACGUGGCACAUUGGAUAAAUUUUGAGCCUUUUCGUUUGCUUUGUCUAUGGACUUUACAUUGUCUACUUUUUCCAAACUACCACGUUGGUGCUAGAAGGACAGGUUCUUAAGACUUCUUUUAGCAUACUGAGCCAUGCGGUUGACUCCGAGGAGGGAGUCCACUAGGGAGAAACUUUUUUCCGUUUAUGGCCUUAGAAUGUUGACUAUUUCUGCGAACAGUAUACCACUGUUGAGGCCAUUUGUGUCUUUUUAUGUAAAAUUACUACUUUGUCUAGUGAGAAAAAAUGGCUCUCAAAACAGUAGCUAACUAUUUAAGGCUGUUUGUGACUUUUUGCCUUCCAUUCUUCUCCUAUCUUUGGCUGCGUUUUCCAUUCCUUUCCUUUGUACGUCAGACACAAUCAAGAAUAGCAGUUGAACUGCUUCUAUGCAUGGUCAGAAAAAGCAAAGAAGCAGAGGAGAAGAAAAGAGAACUCUAACAAGAAAAAGUUCUAGAGAAAGGGUUACAGGAAAACAAACACAGCUAUUCAAGCAAGUCAAGAUUUUGUGAAAUCUCAGAGACCAAUGGCCAUCAAGUGUUUGAUAAAAUGUCUGUGUGAAACUUGGGAUAGCAGAGAAAACACGGAGAGAAUGAUCGCACAGGAGUGCUAAUGGGUUUGUCAAGAGUAUUGGAGCUGGUGGAGUUGAGAGCAGAAGUCAGCAAACUUUUGUGCGUUCUGGGGUUGGAAAAGAAAUUAUCCCUCAGUCAUCUAAGCCAGCUCAAGAGAAGAAGCCCCAGGUUUCUACUACUAAUGGUCAUGCUACAGCCCCUGCUGCUAAAAACUUUUGGCUUAAGACCCAAAAAUCUAUCCAUAUUGAGAUAGAAUGCACCAUUAGAUGCCCAUCAUGCAAGGAAGAAACUGGCGUUAAAGCGAGGUAAUGGCAAAAUAUGAUAGGUGUCGCUUGGGAUUUGUGGUAAAUGAUGUAACAGGAUCUUUACAUGCUGCAAUUUUCAGUCCAUACGCUUUGAAAUUGUUAUCAUAUACCGCUCUUCAUCUAGCCAGCUGAUGACCAAGUAAGUUCAACUCCAUGAGCUAUAACUUGAUGAGUUAUUGCAUAAUGAUGAGUGCAACUUGAUAAAUGCGCUUAAAUGCUCUUGGAAGAACAAUUGUAGGAAAGGAUUGAAAUAUUAUACUAAAAAGUUGUAUUUUUCCUUAAAGAAUUAAUGAGGCUUUGUUCAAAUUAUUUGAUCCAUUUAUAGCUUUAAGUUUUGCUUAUUGGAUUAAUUAUUUUGUAUGACAUUUUAUCAUAAGUUUACCCUUAUAAAUUCACGUAUAGCUUUUGAUCUUGACUCUUGAGAUAUCCUAAAGCCUUAUAAGAGCAUUCUUUUGGUCAGUUGAAAAUAAUUGAAAAAGAUAAGCUGUCUCAGUUAUGGCGUAGGCAUAAGUGACUUAUAAAUUUCUACUAUUUGAUUUUUGAAUGAGGCUGCCAUAAAAAAAAAUGACUCUGUAUGCUUUAAUAAGUUAUUUGUAUAUAACGUAUCUGCUUAUCUGUUAAAAUUUUAGAAUGCUGCCUUAGUUUUGGAUUGUAAAAAACUAUAUUGCUUUGCAGUUGGAAAUUACAUAGUCAACAUGUAAUUGUUGAUUAAAUAUUUCAAACAAAUAUUUCGAACAAAAUUCACUAAUGAAAUUAAGGAUGCUACACAUUUUGCUAAACUAGCCUCUCAUGUUGAGGCGGUUACAAUUAUUUUUUCAUCCAUGCUUUUAAUUUGGAAAAUCCAAGGACAAAAGGACAGCGAAGAACAACACUAUCAAGGCAUAUACUACUGAGGUUGGAGGUCAAAUUUUGAUAGCAAUCCCAAAAGAAGAUCACAAAAGAUGUUCCCAAAUUUCAUAUCAAUGCUCAAGAUCCUUUAUGAUGGCGUUCUCAUAAAGAACUUGAUGGAGUAAAUGCAAGUUAGCAAUCUAAUUAGUGGGCAGUUAGUAUUUCAAUUUAUAGUUGUCUAGGAUAUAGCACUACUAAAAAGUUUAUGACAGCUUGUUGAAUUACUUGGCAGUGGGAAGGUAGAAAAGAUGUUAAUAUUGAACCAGAGCUCAGUUUCCAAACUCUGUUAUUUUACUCAAAUGAUGAAUUUGUAUGCUUAAUUCUUCUUUCUCA